GACGAACGCUGGCGGCGUGCUUAACACAUGCAAGUCGAACGAAGUGGGAACGGGUGAGUAACACGUGGGUAACCUCCCAUCAGAGGGGAUAACACUUGGAAACAGGUGCUAAACCGAUACUGAUGGAUGGACCCGCGGUGCAUUAGCUAGUUGGUGAGGUAACGGCUAACCAAGGCCACGAUGCAUAGCCGACCUGCGGGGGUGAUGGGCCACACUGGGACGGAGACACGGCCCAGACUCCUACGGGAGGCAGCAGUAGGGAAUCUUCGGCAAUGGACGAAAGUCUGACCGAGCAACGCGGCGUGAGUGAAGAAGGUUUUCGGAGCGUAAACUCCUGUUGUUAGGGAAGCGGUACCUAACGAAUAAGCACCGGCUAACUCCGUGCCAGCAGCCGCGGUAAUAC
RNAcentral lists this ribosomal RNA (403 nucleotides) under uncultured bacterium. RNAcentral's name for it is "partial 16S ribosomal RNA". It matches the Rfam family "Bacterial small subunit ribosomal RNA", at positions 28 to 526 of the family's 1533-position model. The record is from RNAcentral.